CGAGAGAGGAACAGAUCGGGCUACGGGCGACGCGCCGUCUUCCCGUCUUCCACGAGGAGAUCCAGCACGAGGAAUCCAGCGGACGCACAGGAUGUGGGUGCCCGAUGCUCGCCCGGGAUGCUGCGUGGAGUCUCUCAAUGUCGUGCCGACACCACAUCAACAUGGUCGCGGAAUCUCCUCCCGGUGGACACAAGGGCUCUUCCUUCGGCGGGUAUGGCUGUGCCUGACUGAUAGGAUACAGAGUCAGGUUUACAUGAGGUGAAUGCAAGCUCUUCACCUUCCUUUAUCUCUGAUCCCCGAAGCCCUUUGUAAUUCGCCCUUUUCCGUUUAUCUUGUUGGGCGCGUGGUUACAAGGGUCAGGGCGAGGAUCCACGGAUGAAGAGGAGAUGGUGUGCCCCCUGCCGCUUCCUGAUAAUCCGACCACCCGUGGGCCUUCCACCUAGAAAACCCACUUGAGGAGAAAGCGACUGAUUUCUGCACCUACAAUUUUGAAACGGACUGAUGGCCGUCUCAAAUCAUCCACAUCGAGUGAUUUCUGUAACUUCUACAACGGCCGUGAUCAGGUGCAUGUUUCAUUGUUGUUCAAGCUCUGCUUAUUAAGGAAAUAAACACAAUUGACUUGUUUUUGCACCUAAUUGUCCUAUGCAUGGUGGUUUAAAUUGGGCUAAUAUUGGUUCAUCAAGAGUCACUAGGAGUAGGACACAGAGGAGGAGGACAGAACACCAC
Triticum aestivum (bread wheat) is the source of this 726-nucleotide long non-coding RNA. RefSeq lists it as uncharacterized. The transcript has 3 exons. NCBI's taxonomy places the organism in Eukaryota, Viridiplantae, Streptophyta, Magnoliopsida, Poales, Poaceae. The record is from RefSeq and is a predicted model, not a curated record.